GGGCACAUCCAUGAAUAUCACAGUUGCAAUAGUAAAGGACAGCACGUCAAAGAAUUGUAAAACUGGUAUCAUUGCCUCUGCUGCCUUGUUUAUUCUCAUUGUUGGAGGGCUUGUGUUGUUUGUCUUCCUGGGUCGUUAAAGAGAAGAAAAGAAAACCGUCCUCACGGAUCACAUUUCCAUUAAUCUCCUCCUUCCAAACAUCCUCUGAUCAAAAGGACUUGAAGUGAGAUGAAGAGAACAUUGCCAAACGUCGUUCCAAGGAAUUAAGGGCGGCACGGUGGCGCAGCGGUAGAGUUGCUGCCUUACAGCGCCAGAGACCCGGGUUCGAUCCUGACCGCGGUUCUGUCUGUACGGAAUUUGUACGCGCUCCACGUUACUGCGUGGGUUAUUGCCAGAAUCUCUGGUUUCCUCCCACAUUCUAAAGACGUACAGGUUUGUAGGUUAAUUGACUUGGUGUAAUUGUAAAAGUAAUUGUAAAUGUGUGCGCGGGAUAGCGUAAGUGUGCGAGGAUCACUGGUCGGUGUGGAUUGGGUGGGCCCGAAGGGCCUGGUUCCAUGCUGUAUCUCUAAACUAAACUAAACUAAACUAAAUAACUAACGGAGCCACAACCUUCCAUCAAGCUCCUCGUGAGAUGAUGUGCCAGAGAGAGAGGAUUAGACUCCUUCACUCAGAUCAAUGUCAGAAACUGGCGAGAUCAGACAAAUAUUUCAGCCAUCUUGUGGGGAACAUUACAGGUUUGGAGGGAUAUGGACCAAACACAGGCAGGUGGGACGAGUGUAGCUGGGACAUGUUGGCUGGUGUGGGCAAGUUGGGUUGAAGGGCUUGUUUCCACACUGUAUCACUCUAUGAUUCUGUGACCUAUUAAUGAAAAGAUAUAUUAUCAGGAUGUAUCAACAGGAUUUAUGAUCUUCCAUUGGUAACCAUUAAUAUUAGUCCAUGUCCAAGGAAGGGUGAAAUAUUUUGACAUGUGCUGCACAGUGGCGCAGCGGUAGAAUUGCUGCCUUGCAUCACCGAAGACCCAGGUUCGAUCCCGACUCUAGGUGCUGGCUGUAUGAAGUUUGUACGUUUUCCCUGUGACUGCAUGGGUUUUCUCCGAUAUCUUCGGUUUCGGUGCGUAGGAUAGUGUUAAUGUGCAGGGAUCGUUGGUCGGUCUGGACUCAGUGGGCCCGAGGGCCCUUUUCCAUGCAAUAUCUCUAAACUAAACUAAACUAAACCUGAUGUUGCCAGGACUUGAGGGCCUGAGGUACAGGGAGAGGUUGAGCAGGUUAGGACUUUAUUCCUUGAAGCGCAGGAGGCUGAGUGGUGAUCUAAUAGAGAUGUAUAAAAUCACAAGGGGAAUUGAUAGGACGAAUGCAAAGAGCCGUUUACCCAGAGUAGGGGAAUCACGAACCAGAGGGCAUAGGUUUAAGGUGAGUGGGGCAAGAUUUAAUGGGAACCUGAGGGGCAACUUUUUCCCACAGAUGGCGGUAGGUAUACAAUACGAGCUUCAGAGGAGGUAGUUGAGGCAGGUACAAUUAAAUCAUUUUUUAAAGACAAUUUGGGCGGGUAGAGGGAUAGGAAAGGUUUAGAUAUGGGACAAAUGUGGGCAGGUGCAACUGGCUUAAAUGGGGCAUCUUGAUCGGAAUGAACAAGUUGGGCCUAAGGGUCUGUUUCCAUGACUACAACUCCAUCUGUAUGUACGAUGCUUGCAUUAUACAUAAUAUUUAACAACAAUAAUAGUGCCAAAUAGGUUUAAUCUAAUGCACAUCAUAGGGAUGUGGUUAUAAGUUUGAACAUUUAUGAUACUUAUUUUUGAGAAAGCAGGGUGGAGUGUCACUCUGGGUGUAAAUUGUUGUCCAACAAAGGCAGGACUGUGCUCAAGUUUAAAAGAAUGAGGUUAUGAUUAAGAUGUUUCAGAAAGAACUGCGGAUGCCGGAAAAAUCAAAGGUAGACAAAAAUGCUGGAGAAACUCAGCGGAUGAGGCAACAUCUAUGGAGCAAAGGAAUAGGUGAUGUAUCAGGUCGAGACCCUUCGUCAGAAUUCUUCAGACUGAAGACGCGUCUCGACCCAAAACGUCACCUAAUCCUUUGCUCCAUAGAUGCUGCCUCACCCGCUGAGUUUCUCCAGCAUUUUUGUCCACCUUAUGAUUAAGAUGAGAAUGUGGUGAUUUCAAUCAGACAUUGAGGCAAAGGGUCACAUUAGGGGAAGAAGUUUAGUUUAGUUUAGUUUAUUAAUUAAAUUAAAUUAAUUUUUGUAGUUUAGUUUAGUUUAGUUUAAUUUAAUUGAAUUUAGUUUAGUUUCAUUGAGUUUUGUUCAGCACAGUUUAGUUUAAUUAAAUAAAGUUUAAUUGUUAUGCCCAGAUAAAGCUGGGCAUAACGAUGUAAUUAAAGUACAUUCAACCAUUUGAACAAUGUCAUUUAUUUAUUUCAUGCCAAAUACGUGUUCUAAGACCAUGAAUCUGAAUAGCAAUUGUUCAAUCUAAUACUAGUUGGUGCUUCUCUCCAAGUGUUUUGUCCUGCACAAUGUGAAAUGUUAUCAAAGUGUUUUUGAAAUAAAAGAUUUGAUCUUGACAAAAGCCGAGUUAUUCUUGCAGUUUCCAUCCAAGAUGCUGCUAGGUAUUGGUUUAUUAUUGUUACAUGUACCGAGAUACAUGUGAACAACUUUGCUUGCCUGCUAUCCAGUCGAAUCUGUGGCGCAGCGGUAGAGUUACUGCCUUACAGUGGCAGAUACCCAGGUUCGUUCCUGACUAUGGGCGCUGCCUGCACAGAGUUUGUACGUUCUCCCUGUGACCUGCGUGGGUUUUCUCCGGGUGCUCCGGUUUCCUCCCACACUCCAAAGACGCGCAGGUUUGUAGGUUCAUUGGAAAAUAUGAGAUGCUAUUCUCCAAUUUGUGUUGGGCCUCACUCUGACAGUGGAGGAGGCCCAGGACAGAAUGGUCAGCGUGGGAAUGGGAGGGGGAGUUAAAGUGUUUGGCAAAUAAUAGCUUAUUUGAAGAUAAGGAAGUGUUCUGGUGUGAAUCCAUGGGUUGGAAACAUGAGACUGCAGGAAGCAAUUCAAAAAUAAUUAAAGCCCAGCAUGAGAUGAACUUGGACAGACUUGAAAACACUUCUCACUAAAAGCCUUGCUUCAGAAAGGACCAGAAUAUCAGGCUGGCCAAUAGAGAAGGCAGCAUGAGAUGUUUAGUUCAGUUCAGUUUAGAGAUACAGCAUGGAAACAGGCACUUUGGCCCACUGAGUCCACACUGACCAAAGAUCCCCACACAAUAACACUGUCCUACACGCAUUAGGGACAAUUUACCAUUAUACCGAGACAAUGAACCUACAAACCUGUACGUCUUUGGAGUGUGGGAGGCAGCAACUCUACCAGGCGCAUCACCGUUCCGCCACUUGUGCUUGUAUAAAACAGAGCGGCA
This is a long non-coding RNA of Leucoraja erinaceus (little skate), 3391 nucleotides long. RefSeq lists it as uncharacterized. Lineage: Eukaryota; Metazoa; Chordata; Chondrichthyes; Rajiformes; Rajidae. The record is from RefSeq and is a predicted model, not a curated record. The transcript is spliced from 3 exons.